GCGAGCUUCAAAACCGCAGAACUGUGGAGGGAUAAAAGAGAGCAGAAAGACGAAGAAAAAUGGAGGAAGACUCGCUUUACUUACAACUGCACAAGCUAUCGGCGAUAAAGUCAGAGGAAGCGCUCGACCAUAUACUCACUACGCUCUGGAAAACCAGGAGAACCGGUCUCUGCUCGCCGGAAAAGUCUCACAUCCAGUCUCUCCUCAGUCUCCUUUCACUCUCCGAAGUUGAUCCUGUUUUGGCAUGCCUUCGUUCGCUUAUCAGAAAAAGUGUGCAUGAGAACUUCACUGGAGAUGAUCUCUUGAAGCUGUUUCCUCCUGAUCUUUCACUUGAUCUGCAAAGCUUUCUUGUGUUGUUGCUCCAGAAAUAUCAGAAUCAAUGGAAAGAGGAAAUGUCAAGAGAACAGCAUCCCCUACCAAGGACCAGUGUCUCCUACCAGGUGAAAGCUAGCGUGCAACCAUCUUUCUCAUCUUCUGUGAUUUCAAUGCCACUUUGGCCUCGCCAGGAUGAUCUUAAUGGACGUUUGAAUCGCAAUGAUCUCGGGUUUUCUCCAUCAAUAAUCACUGGUACCAAUGCCUCACACAUUGCACCUGUUUCUAUCCAACAAGACGCUAGCCCUUCUGAAAACAUGGGUGCUUUGCCACGCCUUAAGUCAAUGACAUGGACCAUGGAGAAUUGCAACUCUGCAGCAGCAAAUAGAGUAGCCAUCAUCAGUCUCAAGGUCUGUCAAAAUGCUGUUAUUAUGUCUUUUGCAGUAGCAGUGAUCUUAGCAAAUUAUUCUAACUUUUUAAACAAUUGUUUGGUCUCUUUUACAUUAUGCUGAUAACUACUCAAAUGCCCAUGCAUUAUGUGUAUUCUUUUAUGUUAUACUGAUUUAAUAGGUCAUAAUGCUUAUUAUUGAUCAAGAACUUCAUGCAUACUUGCGUGAUAAAAGAAGGGAAGUCAUGUGAUCAUGGAAAGUCAUUUGCAGAGGCCAAGAAGCCUACUGUUUAAGAUUUGAUGUUGAAUGAUUUAAUUAAGAAUUGCUGAAAGUAACUGAUUUUUUUUAAUUUUUCAUGCUGCAUGGAUAUGGGUGGUUAUAUAUGAUGCUAUUCAGACUUUCCAUCUUUAAGUUUCAAUGUUUUAACAGACUAUUCAUGACAUCACUCAUUUUAUAAUAGUGUUAAUUCUUAUAUCCUUUAGUUAUCUCAACUUCAUCAUAAUUCCCAGUUGUUUCUUCUUUUAUAUUGCUUUUUGUAUCCAUCAUUGCAGCUUCAAGAUUUCACCAAGUCUCCUUCAGGAGAAACGGAGGUGAAAUUUCAGCUUACUAGAGACACACUUGAAGCGAUGUUGAGAUCAAUGACCUACAUCAGUGAGCAACUUUCUAGCACGGUAUAGAUGUUCCCUCUAUCAUAUGGUCUUGAGGAAAAGUAGAGUUUUUGAAUGAUUCAUCCAGCGCUUAUGCAUCUUACAUGUCUUAUUUAAAUUAAUAAUGUCUAGUUAGACCAACCUUCUAUAGUCCUAUACUCCUAAAGUCAUGGGGCUACUACUUUCCACAUAAUACACCUGAAAAUAGUGAACUCUGGAGAAAGUCAAGUCAAAGGGCCAGACUCUCUCUUAUCUACACCCUCUUGGUUCCAAAACAAAUUGAAACUUGCAAAUUAUGGAAAAAUUCUCGUGUGUGCUUCCUGUUCAGGAUUUUCUUCUGAUGAAUUUAAUUAAUUGUAAAAAUUAUUUAAAGAGAGAGAGAGAGAGAG
Molecule: unclassified non-coding RNA, 1737 nt
Filed under: Hevea brasiliensis (rubber tree)
Lineage: Eukaryota; Viridiplantae; Streptophyta; Magnoliopsida; Malpighiales; Euphorbiaceae
Source: RNAcentral